AUUGAACGCUGGCGGCAGGCCUAACACAUGCAGGUCGAGCGGAUGAAGGGAGCUUGCUCCUGGAUUCAGCGGCGGACGGGUGAGUAAUGCCUAGGAAUCUGCCUGGUAGUGGGGGAUAACGUCCGGAAACGGGCGCUAAUACCGCAUACGUCCUGAGGGAGAAAGUGGGGGAUCUUCGGACCUCACGCUAUCAGAUGAGCCUAGGUCGGAUUAGCUAGUUGGUGGGGUAAAGGCCUACCAAGGCGACGAUCCGUAACUGGUCUGAGAGGAUGACCAGUCACACUGGAACUGAGACACGGUCCAGACUCCUACGGGAGGCAGCAGUGGGGAAUAUUGGACAAUGGGCGAAAGCCUGAUCCAGCCAUGCCGCGUGUGUGAAGAAGGUCUUCGGAUUGUAAAGCACUUUAAGUUGGGAGGAAGGGCAGUAAGUUAAUACCUUGCUGUUUUGACGUUACCAACAGAAUAAGCACCGGCUAACUUCGUG
RNAcentral lists this ribosomal RNA (484 nucleotides) under uncultured bacterium. RNAcentral's name for it is "partial 16S ribosomal RNA". It matches the Rfam family "Bacterial small subunit ribosomal RNA", at positions 30 to 507 of the family's 1533-position model. The record is from RNAcentral.